This 461-nucleotide ribosomal RNA is filed under the name uncultured bacterium. RNAcentral's name for it is "bacterial SSU rRNA". It matches the Rfam family "Bacterial small subunit ribosomal RNA", at positions 1 to 507 of the family's 1533-position model. The record is from RNAcentral.
AGUAGUCACGUAGUUGAUCCUGGCUCAAGAACGACGCUGGCGGCAUGCCUAACACAUGCAAGUCGAACGAGACCUUCGGGUCUAGUGGCGCACGGGUGCGUAACGCGUGGGAAUCUGCCCUUGGGUUCGGAAUAACUUCGGGAAACUGAAGCUAAUACCGGAUGAUGACGUAAGUCCAAAGAUUUAUCGCCCAAGGAUGAGCCCGCGUAGGAUUAGCUAGUUGGUGAGGUAAAGGCUCACCAAGGCGACGAUCCUUAGCUGGUCUGAGAGGAUGAUCAGCCACACUGGGACUGAGACACGGCCCAGACUCCUACGGGAGGCAGCAGUGGGGAAUAUUGGACAAUGGGCGAAAGCCUGAUCCAGCAAUGCCGCGUGAGUGAUGAAGGCCUUAGGGUUGUAAAGCUCUUUUACCCGGGAUGAUAAUGACAGUACCGGGAGAAUAAGCUCCGGCUAACUCCGUG